Molecule: ribosomal RNA, 713 nt
Filed under: Maublancomyces gigas
Lineage: Eukaryota; Fungi; Ascomycota; Pezizomycetes; Pezizales; Discinaceae
Description: eukaryotic LSU rRNA
Rfam family: 5.8S ribosomal RNA (bases 351-504)
Source: RNAcentral
GGAUCAUUAUAAGAUCUUGGGUUAAGUAAUAGCGAACCUCGCCCCCUCCCCUCACCAACUCAAAGAAAGUAUGGGCUUAGGGCUGUGGGGCGGCGCACCCACCUGAUCCCUACUGGGCUCCAUCGGGCCCUGAGAGACACCCCCCCUGCCGGCUGGCGCUGACGGAACUACCUGGGGGUGUCGGCUGCGUUGUCGAAGCUGGGGACUGGUUUAACCUUCAUACACCUCGGCGUACCACUCCAUGUUGCUUCCCCGAACCCUCUCCAAAUGGGGGAUCGGGGGAGGUCCCUUACCCACAACCCCACUCAAUUGCAAAGUCAGUCCGACGUACCAUAAAAUAUAAAAGUUAAAACUUUCAACAACGGAUCUCUUGGUUCCCGCAUCGAUGAAGAACGCAGCGAAAUGCGAUAAGUAAUGUGAAUUGCAGAAUUCAGUGAAUCAUCGAAUCUUUGAACGCACAUUGCGCCCCCCGGUAUUCCGGAGGGCAUGCCUGUUCGAGCCUCAAUAAAACCUCUCCCCAGAGGGCCACUCUGCAGAGAGCGGCCCUUCCUUUGGGGGUCAUGGUGGACCCGCCGGCCUUCAAAAGCCGUCUGGCCACUCAAAUUCUUGGUCUGCAGGCCACGAGGGGUUGCACCUCGACGUAGUGAUCGUUUUCAUCGUCGGAAGGCGCCCUCAUGUUCCUGGGACCUUAAGCGUCCGUCUUGGAUGCCCAC